UACGAAGGGGGCUAGCGUUGCUCGGAAUUACUGGGCGUAAAGCGCACGUAGGCGGCUCUUUAAGUCGGGGGUGAAAUCCUGGAGCUCAACUCCAGAACUGCCUUCGAUACUGAAGAGCUCGAGUCCGGGAGAGGUGAGUGGAACUGCGAGUGUAGAGGUGAAAUUCGUAGAUAUUCGCAAGAACACCAGUGGCGAAGGCGGCUCACUGGCCCGGUACUGACGCUGAGGUGCGAAAGCGUGGGGAGCGAACAGG
RNAcentral lists this ribosomal RNA (253 nucleotides) under uncultured bacterium. RNAcentral's name for it is "partial 16S ribosomal RNA". It matches the Rfam family "Bacterial small subunit ribosomal RNA", at positions 524 to 776 of the family's 1533-position model. The record is from RNAcentral.